AGAGAGAGAGAGAGAGAAAGAAAUCACAGACCGCAAGAUUCAGCGGUAUAAAAAAUCACUUGUAGAAUCCGCUGCAUUAGCUCGCCGGAAAAAGAAUUCCGGCGAAAAAUAUAAAUUAUAUACCGACAGAAGAAGGAAAAGAGAGAGAGAGAAUCAGAGGAAUGUGAAAAGACAGGUAUCAAUGGAAUAUUAAGUAAGUGUAAGUGUGUGAGAGAGAGAAAGUGUUUCCCUCUGUGGGAAGUAAACAGUAAUAGCGAGAGGAAAGAAACGAAAAGAAUGGUGAGAAUGAGAGAGAGAGAUGAGCUGUCAGUUUGUUGUGUAGGUGGAAGAGAGAGCUUAAGCUUUCAGGCUUCUGUGGAAAGUGGGAAUAAUAAGAUUGUAAGGAAAUGACGUAUUUAACCCUGGUGGCUGUGUUCGUGCAAGUGAGUAUUCUCCCCGGUCGAUCCCUUACAAAAGCAUACGUAAGGCAAGGCGACCGUUACUCUGAACAUAAUGAUAGAAGACAACAGUGAA
Molecule: unclassified non-coding RNA, 513 nt
Filed under: Hevea brasiliensis (rubber tree)
Lineage: Eukaryota; Viridiplantae; Streptophyta; Magnoliopsida; Malpighiales; Euphorbiaceae
Source: RNAcentral